RNAcentral lists this ribosomal RNA (1512 nucleotides) under metagenome. Its description in RNAcentral is "bacterial SSU rRNA". It matches the Rfam family "Bacterial small subunit ribosomal RNA". The record is from RNAcentral.
AGGGUUUGAUCCUGGCUCAGAACGAACGCUGGCGGCGUGGCUAACCCAUGCAAGUCGUGCGCCAAAGUCGGGGCAACUCGGCGAGUAGCGCGGCGAAAGGGUGAGUAACGCAUAGGUAAUGUACCCCGGACACGAGGAUAGUCCGCCGAAAGGCGGGGCAAUACUCGAUGAGACCACGGGCAGGCAUCUGCUUGAGGUCAAUGGGCGAGGACCGCAAGGCUUGUCGGUCUGGGAGCAGCCUAUGUUCCAUCAGCUAGUUGGUGAGGUAAUGGCCCACCAAGGCUUUGACGGAUAGCCGGACUGAGAGGUCGACCGGCCACAUUGGCACUGAGACACUGGCCAGACUCCUACGGGAGGCUGCAGGGACGAAUAUUCGGCAAUGGGCGAAAGCCUGACCGAGCGACGCCGCGUGUGGGAAGAAGUUCUUCGGAAUGUAAACCACUGUCAGGGGUUACCAAGCAAGUGCGCCCAAUAUGCGCGCAAGUUGAGGAGCCCCAAAGGAAGCCACGGCUAACUUCGUGCCAGCAGCCGCGGUAAGACGGAGGUGGCUAGCGUUGUUCGGAAUCACUGGGCUUAAAGAGCACGUAGGCGGCCUGUUAAGUGCCUUGUGAAAUCCCCCGGCUCAACCGGGGAACUGCUUGGCAUACUGGCAGGAUUGAGGCAAGUAUGGGUGCAUGGAACUCUUGGUGGAGCGGUGAAAUGCGUAGAUAUCAAGGGGAACGCCGGCGGUGAAGACGAUGCACUGGGCUUGUCCUGACGCUGAGGUGCGAAAGCCAGGGUAGCGAACGGGAUUAGAUACCCCGGUAGUCCUGGCCGUAAACGAUGUCCACUAGGUUGGGGUUCUUUUGACGGAUUCCCGGCCGAAGUAAAAACGCUAAGUGGACCGCCUGGGGAGUACGGUCGCAAGGCUAAAACUCAAAGGAAUUGACGGGGGCUCACACAAGCGGUGGAGCAUGUUGCUCAAUUCGAUGCAACGCGAAGAACCUUAUCCUGGGCUUGACAUGUACGAAUACCUUACCUGAAAGGGAUAAGGUUGCCCUUCGGGGUGAAGCGUACACAGGUGCUGCAUGGCUGUCGUCAGCUCGUGUCGUGAGAUGUCGGGUUAAGUCCCAUAACGAGCGAAACCCUUGUCGCUAGUUGCCAGCGGGUCAUGCCGGGAACUCUAGCGAGACUGCCGGUGUUAAACCGGAGGAAGGCGGGGAUGACGUCAAGUCCUCAUGGCCUUUAUGCCCAGGGCUGCAAACGUGCUACAAUGGCUGGGACAAACCGAUGCGAGACCGCGAGGUGGAGCAAACCGGAAAAAACCAGCCCCAGUUCAGAUUGCAGUCUGCAACUCGACUGCAUGAAGUUGGAAUCGCUAGUAAUCGCGGAUCAGCUACGCCGCGGUGAAUGUGUUCCUGAGCCUUGUACACACCGCCCGUCAAGUCAUGGGAGCCGGUAGCACCCGAAGCCGCCCCGCCUCAGGGGUGUCUAAGGUGAGAUCGGUGACUGGGACUAAGUCGUAACAAGGUA